This 29-nucleotide non-coding RNA is filed under the name Mus musculus (house mouse). The record is from RNAcentral. Lineage: Eukaryota; Metazoa; Chordata; Mammalia; Rodentia; Muridae.
UAGUCACAUUUGUUUUAUUUUUGACUGGG